This 468-nucleotide ribosomal RNA is filed under the name uncultured bacterium. RNAcentral's name for it is "partial 16S ribosomal RNA". It matches the Rfam family "Bacterial small subunit ribosomal RNA", at positions 28 to 507 of the family's 1533-position model. The record is from RNAcentral.
GACGAACGCUGGCGGCGUGCUUAACACAUGCAAGUCGAACGGUGAUGCUCCAGCUUGCUGGCGUGGAUCAGUGGCGAACGGGUGAGUAACACGUGAGCAACCUGCCCCAGACUCUGGAAUAAGCGCUGGAAACGGCGUCUAAUACUGGAUACGAAACUGGCCCGCAUGGGCAUGGUUUGGAAAGUUCUUCGGUUUGGGAUGGGCUCGCGGCCUAUCAGCUUGUUGGUGAGGUAAUGGCUCACCAAGGCGACGACGGGUAGCCGGCCUGAGAGGGCGACCGGCCACACUGGGACUGAGACACGGCCCAGACUCCUACGGGAGGCAGCAGUGGGGAAUAUUGCACAAUGGGCGAAAGCCUGAUGCAGCGACGCCGCGUGAGGGAUGACGGCCUUCGGGUUGUAAACCUCUUUCAGCAGGGAAGAAGCGAAAGUGACGGUACCUGCAGAAGAAGCACCGGCUAACUACGUG